This 392-nucleotide ribosomal RNA is filed under the name uncultured bacterium. Its description in RNAcentral is "partial 16S ribosomal RNA". It matches the Rfam family "Bacterial small subunit ribosomal RNA", at positions 523 to 918 of the family's 1533-position model. The record is from RNAcentral.
AUACGGAGGAUCCGAGCGUUAUCCGGAUUUAUUGGGUUUAAAGGGUGCGCAGGCGGCCAUUUAAGUCAGCGGUUAAAUCGUGGGGCUCAACCCCAUUCUGCCGUUGAUACUGGGUGGCUUGAUUGCGGUCGAGGUUGGCGGAAUUCGUUGUGUAGCGGUGAAAUGCAUAGAUAUGACGAAGAACACCGAUUGCGUAGGCAGCUGACCAGACCGCAAAUGACGCUCAUGCACGAAAGUGCGGGGAUCGAACAGGAUUAGAUACCCUGGUAGUCCGCACAGUAAACGAUGAAUACUUGUUUUCGGCGAUAUAAUGUCGGAGGCAAAGCGAAAGCGAUAAGUAUUCCACCUGGGGAGUACGGCGGCAACGGUGAAACUCAAAUGAAUUGGCGGGG